AUUCCUACUCUGCUCGAAACCUUUAUGUUCUUAUUCUUCUGCUUCUCCGUCGCUGCAUUCCAGAACUUGGAGUAGUUCAACUGCUUCCCUAUCAUCUCCGAUACUCCAGAGUACGCUAAUACCAAGAAGCUCCCGACCGUAACGGCUGAAACCACUGCAGACGCCGGCGGCGGGAAAACCAACUUCAACAGCACAGAAGACAUCACCGUCGCCAUGCUGCUUAAUCGAUAAUUAAGAAAUUGAAACACGUGAUGUCGGAGCUGUGGGGGCGGAGGAUCUUAUCUUGAAGAUAUUGGAUCAAUUAUUCAUUAAUUAAAAAUUGAUCCAUGAUUAGGUACGGAAAAGAAAGGAGGUGUUUUUAAAAUAAAUAAAUUAAAUAUUUUAUUUACAAAUAUAAAUAUAAAUCUAAAUGAAAUAUGAAUAACUUUUUUUUUGUUUACAACUUUAUUUCAUUUAUAUUAUAAACGUAAUAAGUUAGACGCUUAUAAAAAUAAAUUAUGAUAUUUGUUACGGUACCAUCAUAAAUUCAUACGUAUCGAUACAAUUAAAAUGUAGACAAAUUAAAACACGACACGUGAAUUAUAUUUUCUACGACAGUAAUUAAUUUUUUUUUUAAAUAUAUAUUAUAUCAAUUAUUUUGCUAAAUUAUCCUUAUACUUUAAUAAAAAUAAAAAAUAUUUUUUAUUUAAUAUUAUAAAAAGACUAAAAUACUCUUUUUAUAUUAAACAAAAAUUAAUUUAAAAAUCAAAAUCAAAAUACAUCUCAUUAUUCAUAUACAUUGAAAAAUUAUUUCAUUGAUCAUGAAUCCUAAUCUAAUCUCUCUCACCUCUGUUCAUACCAAAAAAAACACAUCUGAACAAUUUUUUUUCAUCAUUGAAUAUCAAUCUACCAAUAAAAUAUAACCUCAUCCCUAAUUCCUACUCGGACAGCAACAGCCUAUCCUCACCUUCUCUCUUCAUCGUAGCCGCGCUCUCUCUCCGUCGUUCUUCACGCAAGCAGCCGCCUUGUCGUUCCCCAUGCAUCAACAGCUCAUCGUGUCAUCCUCCACGUAGCAGCAACCCCGUAUCACUCUCUAGCGUCGUGCCUUCCUCCACUCCUCCCUGCAAUUGCCACUCUCUGUCUUCCGUUUGCAGCUGUUCAGCCCUGCCGUUUCCGUCGUCUAGCCCCACAGUUUUCGUCGACACAGUCCCCUGCAUCUAGAAUGGAGACUCAGAUGGUGAUACACAGUUGAACCAAGGGGAUGAUGAAGAUAUGGUUUCAGGCUCCAGCAGCAAGCAGAGUUACAAUUUUCAAGCUUCUAAUGUUAAUCCUAAGAGAGAAAAGUACCUCAGAUACCGGACCAGACUUAAUGCUGCAGAGUAUGCUUGUUUUAGCUGUGUAAUUUAGUUUUUAUAUAUGUUUCAAAAAUGCCAACCUAUCCUAGAUUCAAACCUUAUGUUUUCUUGGCUUCUUUCAUGCGGUUUUAAUGCAUGUAAUGUGAAAUAUACCUUCAUCCUUUGGUAAAGAAUUAGGAAGUACAUAUUGAGGUUUGGUAACCA
Long non-coding RNA from Arachis stenosperma, 1538 nucleotides. RefSeq lists it as uncharacterized. The transcript is spliced from 3 exons. The record is from RefSeq and is a predicted model, not a curated record. NCBI's taxonomy places the organism in Eukaryota, Viridiplantae, Streptophyta, Magnoliopsida, Fabales, Fabaceae.